This 376-nucleotide transfer-messenger RNA is filed under the name Candidatus Babelota bacterium. It matches the Rfam family "transfer-messenger RNA". Rfam says of the family: Bacterial tmRNA, also known as 10Sa RNA or SsrA, is named for its dual tRNA and mRNA-like properties. RNAcentral also lists the same sequence under 1 other name. The record is from RNAcentral.
GGGGGCGUAAUGGCUUCGACGUGGUAUGAGCGGUUUGAAGAGCAUGUCGAGCUUUAACUGUGUGCUCGUUAAAAAAAUGGUUAAACAAUACAUGCAAACAAUAGCAUGAGUGCUUUCAAUAGCACGCCCGCUUUCGCGUAAUAGCUUAAGCAGCUUGGUAGGACAGUGUGCCUAUGCAUUGGCCUAACUCGUAUAACCCUUUAUAGGACUGGAAAGCAAGGUUCACUUGGUAUGUAGCUUUUCUGAACACAAACCAGGCGUGUUUGUAUAGCGUGUCUUUUAGGAAUAAGGAACACGUACAAGAAAAAGACUAAACAUGUAGCGCUUUAAGCUAAUCGUAGUACGGACAUGGGUUCGACUCCCAUCGCCUCCACCA